Molecule: ribosomal RNA, 424 nt
Filed under: uncultured bacterium
Lineage: Bacteria
Description: partial 16S ribosomal RNA
Rfam family: Bacterial small subunit ribosomal RNA
Source: RNAcentral
GAAUAUUGGACAAUGGGCGCAAGCCUGAUCCAGCCAUACCGCGUGGGUGAAGAAGGCCUUCGGGUUGUAAAGCCCUGUUGUUGGGAAAGAAAAGCAGUCGGCUAAUACCCGGUUGUUCUGACGGUACCCAAAGAAUAAGCAACGGCUAACUGCGUGCCAGCAGCCGCGGUAACACGAAGGGUGCAAGCGUUACUCGGAAUUACUGGGCGUAAAGCGUGCGUAGGUGUGUCUUUACGUCUGUGGUGAAAGCCCUGGGCUCAACCAGGGAAGUGCAGUGGAUACUGGGCUACUAGAGUGUGGUAGAGGGUAGUGGAAUUCCCGGUGUAGCAGUGAAAUGCGUAGAGAUCGGGAGGAACAUCCAUGGCGAAGGCAGCUACCUGGACCAACACUGACACUGAGGCACGAAAGCGUGGGGAGCAAACAG